Long non-coding RNA from Haplochromis burtoni (Burton's mouthbrooder), 1165 nucleotides. RefSeq lists it as uncharacterized. The record is from RefSeq and is a predicted model, not a curated record. NCBI's taxonomy places the organism in Eukaryota, Metazoa, Chordata, Actinopteri, Cichliformes, Cichlidae. The transcript has 3 exons.
GAAGACGUAGUGCGCGUGCCCGCCCAGAGCACAAAGUAGGCCUUCAGAAGAAAGAGUGUAACCACAGUCAUCAUACUUGUUAUCAAGGAGUUUGAGGUUUUUUUCAAGCCGACUGAGGCAAAUAUUGUGUGGGCUGUACUGAGCUUCCUUACUGCUGCCCCUCUGGUCUCCGGCAGAUCACGUUUCUGUUUCUCAUGCGUAAUUGGAAACAUAUACGCUCUCGUAGCUCGGACAGCUUGGUCUCUUUGCAAGGUAGCCAUUAACAUGGGAGGAGAGUGAGCCAGCUGUCUUUACUAGUCCUAGUCCAACUACAAAGCCGGCCUUCUCCGCUGGGGUAUCUUUAGUUCGGGUUAUUCUGAGAGGGGGUCGAGGGUGACUGGCAGGAGGCGAAGAGUCUGCUGGAGCAGCAUCUCAGCACCUGUAGUCAGAAACAUUGGUUCUUCAUCAAAGGCGAAAGAAUGGAAAGCAUGUCGAAACCUCGGUCCAUUGAUGAUUGCAACAUAACCCAACCAGUUCCUGCAAGUAAAGAUGAACCUGUUGUGAUCCCUGUGGAGAAGACUUCUACCACUAUGAAGCAGGCCAGAAGACGACAGCGCAUUGACAGUGGGAACAGAAGCCUUACAUGCGAUCAGUGUGGAAAGGCUUUUACUUGUAAUAGCAGUUUAAAAAAACAUCAGCUCAUGCACACUGGAUUUAAACCAUUCAGCUGUGAUCGGUGUGGAAAGGCUUUCACUCACAAUGCCAGCUUAAAAAUACAUCAGCUUGUCCACACUGGCAUUAAACCAUUCAGCUGUGAUCAGUGUGGAAGGGGUUUCACUCAGAGUAGCGGCUUAAAAAAACAUCAGCUCAUCCACACUGGAUUUAAACCAUUCAGCUGUGAUCUGUGUGGAAUGUCUUUUUCUGACAAUGGCAAAUUAAAAAGACAUCAACUCGUUCACACUGGCAUUAAACCAUUCAGUUGCGAUCAGUGUGGACAGGCUUUCACUCAUAAUAGCAAGUUAAAAAAACAUCAGCUCAUCCACACUGGAUUAAAAGCAUUCAGCUGUGAUCAGUGUGGAAUGUCUUUUACUGUAAAUGGCAAUUUAAAACAACAUCAGCUCGCUCACACUGGAUUUAAACCAUUCAGCUGUGAUCAAUGUGACAGGGCUUUCACUCAGAGUGGCAG